RNAcentral lists this ribosomal RNA (2177 nucleotides) under Rhodothermus marinus SG0.5JP17-171. RNAcentral's name for it is "bacterial LSU rRNA". It matches the Rfam family "Bacterial large subunit ribosomal RNA", at positions 15 to 2044 of the family's 2925-position model. Lineage: Bacteria; Pseudomonadati; Rhodothermota; Rhodothermia; Rhodothermales; Rhodothermaceae. The record is from RNAcentral.
GUAAGGGCGCAUGGUGGAUGCCUCGGCAUGGGCAGGCGAUGAAGGGCGUGGCAAGCUGCGAUAAGCCGCGGGGAGCCGCAAGCAGGCUGUGAUCCGCGGAUUCCCGAAUGGGGCAACCCGGCCGGUCGAAGACCGGUCAUCCACGAGCUGAAUCCAUAGGCUCGUGGAGGCGAACCCGGGGAACUGAAACAUCUCAGUACCCGGAGGAAAAGAAAGCAACCGCGAUUCCCUGAGUAGUGGCGAGCGAAAGGGGAACAGCCCAAACCGGCGUCGUUUCGGCGGCGUCGGGGUUGUAGGGCCCGCCAUAUGGGGUCGGAAGGUGAAGUCGAAGCGUGCUGGAAAGCCGCGCCAAAGAGGGUGAUAGCCCCGUAGGCGUAAGCCGACCGAUCUCGGCGGUGUCCCUGAGUACCACGGGACCGGGGAAAUCCUGUGGGAAGCUGCCAGCACCAUCUGGCAAGGCUAAAUACUCGCCCAUGACCGAUAGCGCACUAGUACCGUGAGGGAAAGGUGAAAAGAACGCCUAGUAGGCGAGUGAAAAGGACCUGAAACCAUGCGCCUACAACCAGUCGGAGCCUCUUGCCGGACUUCGGUCCGGCAAUGGGGUGACGGCGUGCCUUUUGCAGAAUGAGCCUACGAGUUGCUCCUCUCUGGCAAGGCUAAGUGCCUCAGGCACGGAGCCGCAGCGAAAGCGAGUCCGAACAGGGCGACAGAGUCAGAGGGGGCAGACGCGAAACCGGGUGAGCUACCCUUGGCCAGGUUGAAGCGUGGGUAAGACCACGUGGAGGACCGAACCGGUUGGCGUUGAAAAGCCAUCGGAUGAGCUGAGGGUAGGGGUGAAAGGCCAACCAAACCCGGAGAUAGCUCGUACUCCCCGAAAUGCAUAGAGGUGCAGCGUCGCAGCCGAGUGUGCGGGAGGUAGAGCACUGGUUGGGCUAGGGCCCUUCACCGGGUACCAAACCCAGUCAAACUCCGAAUGCCCGCACAUGCUCUGCGGCAGUGAGGGCAUGGGCGAUAAGGUCCAUGUCCGAGAGGGGGACAACCCAGACCGACAGCUAAGGCCCCCAAGUCCAGGCUAAGUUGGGCAAAGGAGGUCGGGCUGCUAAGACAACCAGGAGGUUGGCUUAGAAGCAGCCAUUCCUUUAAAGAGUGCGUAACAGCUCACUGGUCGAGCGGCCCGGCGCCGAAAAUUGUCGGGCAUCAAGCCUGGCGCCGAAGCUUCGGGUUUGCAGCCUUCAGGCUGCAAGCGGUAGGGGAGCAUUCCAGCUGCGCAGAAGUCGCCUCGUGAGGGGCGGUGGAGCGGCUGGAAAAGAAAAUGUAGGCAUGAGUAACGAGAAGACGGGUGAAAAACCCGUCCGCCGUAAGCCCAAGGGUUCCUGCUCAACGCUAAUCGGAGCAGGGUUAGCCGGGUCCUAAGCCGAGGCCGAAAGGCGUAGGCGAUGGGAAACGGGUUAAUAUUCCCGUGCCACCCGAAGGCGCUAACCUGAGGCGUGACGCAGGAGCGUAAGGCCCGCGCCCUGACGGAAUAGGGCGUUGAAGCCCGUAGGCUGGGUGGUAGGCAAAUCCGCCACCCGCUAAGGCCGAAAGGCGACAGUAGGGGGACCCGCAAGGGAAACCCAUAGAGGCCCCAAGCACACUGCCAAGAAAAGCGUCGCAGGUUGUCUUCGGGUGCCCGUACCGGAAACCGACACAGGUGGGCGAGGCGAGUAUCCUCAGGCGCUCGAGUGAUCCGUGGCUAAGGAACUCGGCAAAUUGGCCCCGUAACUUCGGGAGAAGGGGCGCCUCCUCCCAUCCAAAAGCGGGAGGGGGCCGCAGUGACCAGGCCCAGGCGACUGUUUAACAAAAACACAGCUCUCUGCGAACUCGUAAGAGGACGUAUAGGGAGUGACACCUGCCCGGUGCCGGAAGGUUAAGGAAGGGGGUUAUCUCGGCCUCGCGCCGGGAGAAGCUCCCGACCGAAGCCCCGGUAAACGGCGGCCGUAACUAUAACGGUAGGACUGGAUCGAAGCCGAUCCAGAAGGGCCGUUGUAAAAUUCGGCUAUAUGCUGGGACAGCUCGGGUAUCCCAGGGUACCGAGAAGGUAAAAAUCCUAUGGGUGGAGCCAACCAGCAGGAAAGACUUUCGGGGACCGAAGCCGAACGGUGGUUCCUUGCAGGGCUCAUCGAAGGGGAAGGCUCCCU